CCGGCACGGGUGAGUAACACGUAUGCAAUCCACCUGUAACAGGGGGAUAACCCGGAGAAAUCCGGACUAAUACCCCAUAAUAUGGGCGCUCCGCAUGGAGAGCCCAUUAAAGAGAGCAAUUUUGGUUACAGACGAGCAUGCGCUCCAUUAGCCAGUUGGCGGGGUAACGGCCCACCAAAGCGACGAUGGAUAGGGGUUCUGAGAGGAAGGUCCCCCACAUUGGAACAGAGACACGGUCCAA
Molecule: ribosomal RNA, 241 nt
Filed under: uncultured bacterium
Lineage: Bacteria
Description: partial 16S ribosomal RNA
Rfam family: Bacterial small subunit ribosomal RNA
Source: RNAcentral